This is a long non-coding RNA of Leopardus geoffroyi (Geoffroy's cat), 2617 nucleotides long. RefSeq lists it as uncharacterized. The transcript has 3 exons. NCBI's taxonomy places the organism in Eukaryota, Metazoa, Chordata, Mammalia, Carnivora, Felidae. The record is from RefSeq and is a predicted model, not a curated record.
AGGCUGGAAGUCUGAAAGCAGGGUGUCAGCAGGGCCACGCUCCUUCCACGACUCUGAGUGGAAUCCUUCCUUGCCUCUUCCGGCUCUGGAAGUGGCCGGCAAUCCUGGGCAUCCCCCGGCUCACAGCUACAUCCCUCCACUCUCUGCGUCUGUGGCCACACAGCGGCUUCUCCCCGUGUCUCCGUCUCACGUGACUUUUCCCCUUCUCAUAAGGACACCAGUCACACGGGAUCAGGGCCCACGCUGAUGACCUGAUCUUACCUCGAUGACAUCUGCUGUGACCAAAUAAGGUCACAUUCACAGAAGCAGCCCGGUGAUGCGGAGGCGACAAACUCUGUUUUGUUCUUCAGCUGAGACUCAGAGAAGUUCAAUAACCCACCAAAGGCGGCACAGCUAGUAACUGCCGGAGCUGGGAUUUGCACCUGGGACCAGCCCUGCUCCUAGUGUUUUCCCCUGCAUCCCAGAGCAGCUCUGGGAGAGCUGGCCCGGGGGUCUUGGGCUGAAGAUUCUGGAAGGGGGCUGGGCAGGGGGUGGGGGGAGCAGGGCCCAUUGCCCCCGAUUCAAGGUAGAGAAAGGCAAGUAAGGCGCGGGAGGCAGGGCAGAGGGUCUGGGCUGGUACCCUGAGCUCUGCCGGAAGCCACUCUGGGCCGCGGCGGGGACGGAGGCUGCCCCUUAUCCCAGCUUCACGCAAACCAAUAAUUUUCCACAAUUAUCUGGAAAAGAUUAAUUAGCAAAGUGCGCCAUAUUGACUCAAGGCUGCCCUGGCGAUCGAUAAACUUGGGAGAGUCUCCCAGGUGCCUGGAGAAAGGACCAGAACUUGAAACUGGGGAGGGAAGCCCGGCUUUGACAGAUCUGAGCCUCAUCUUGCAGCCCUGGGGAGAGGAGAGCAGGCUCCCCAGGGGGUGUAGGGGGCCGGUGGGACGGCCGCUGUGGAGGGAACCCCUCUUCUCUCGGGCUCCACUUCCCUUUGCUGAUGUGGCAGCCUGCUGGGGGCUGAGGGAGCGUAAAGGAUCCGCCGUGGCUGCCUUUUCCAGGGUGAACGAGGACAUCUGGUCUUCGUGAAGAACCACAGAAGGUCCACCUGUUCUGGUUGGGGCAGAACUGAGUGUGGUCAGAAGGGCAGGAUUGGGCUCAGGUGGACCCACCCCCCACUCCCUGCUGGGUGCCCCCCCACAGUCUCCUGGCCUCUCUGGGCCUCGGUGCCCUCCUCUGAGACCCAGCGGUUGAGAGUUUCUUCAGUGGGCCCGUGGACACCCGCAGCCCAGCCCUGUGCCCGGCCCGGAGCAGGUGCGGGGCUAACGGAGGCCGCUGUCACCAUGGACCAGAUCUCCACUCGUCCUGCAUCCGUGAGCAUCCCGGCAGGACCCAGCGAGCCGCUCGGAGGGCACAGCCUCCGUGGCGUCACGCGUUCGUCUAAUAGCGCCUGGGCUCCUGCCAUGUGCCAGGCCCACGCCAGGCCCCGACCCAAGCUGCGGAGAAACUGAGAAUCAUUUGUCCUGCAAUGAAAACUGACAGAGCAUCUCCUAUGAGCUCGGCUCUGGGGACACAGUAGUGACAAGACCAUGCUGGACUCUGCUCUUGUGAGGUCCACGGUGUCUCAGGGAGGCUGACUUCAAGCUGAAGUUUCUGGAGCCUGGGUGCUGUGUCAGGGUGACCCAGAGGGCUGCAGGAUGGGGGGGUCAGCCGUGUGCAUCGAGGAAAGAGCCCCCUCAUGUAUUCUCAGCCCGGGAGCUGGGAGGCUGUCCCCGGAUGGCAGGCACAGUGUGCAAAGCCCCGGGAGAUGGGCCCGGGCAGCCCUAAAUCCUGGGCACGGAAGGUCCCCGGCGGGCUGGAUGCCUCAUUCAGGUGCCUUCCCCUCCCUGUGCCUCCCCUCCCUGGUCUGUCCCCCACUGCCUCACCUCCUUCCAGGCCCGGAGGCCGCCUGCCUGCCGCCCCCUGGCCGCUCCCCAGUCCGGGUCAGCCGCCUGUCCCCGCUGUAUUCAUCAAGGGCAUGACAGCUAAAAUUCAUUUGAAGAUGAAGAAAGUGCCCGCUAAUCCGUUCUGCGAGACAUUGAUAGACUAGCAGCUCAGGGAGAAUUGCACAGCAGUAAUGAAAUUAGGCUAAAACUGCUGGCGGAUUGCAGAUAAUUGCCCUUGUCUGUCACUCGGAAUAACAUCUCCCAAAUCCAACACAAGGAUUGUUCAACUUGCAGGAAUUUCUUUUCUUUUCUUUCUUUCUUUCUUUCUUUCUUUCUUUCUUUCUUUCUUUCGGAAAGGCAGGGGAGGCAAAGCCAAUGGGGGGCUUUGUCUCUCAGAGGUCUGAGCAGGUGGGGCUGGUCUCACCGUGGUGACAAAGUCCCCGGGCCCGGAGCCCUGGCCUCCACCGCUCAGGACAAGGGGGCGGAGAAAGGGGCUGGGCCGCAGUCCCAGGACAUUCCUCCCAGGCCCCUUGUGGGUCCCCCCCCCCCCCCGGGAGCCUUGAUUUCUCCCUCAUGCCCACUCCCUUCCACCAGUAGGUUCUAGCCGGCAAAGCCCUAGGUGGAAAGUGGUAAGCAGGGAAAUCGUGCAGAACUAGAGCUCCAGUGAGGUGCCUGGGUGGCUCAGUCGAUUACGCAUCCGACUUCAGCUCAGGUCAUGA